UUGUUGCCAGCGGUUAGGCCGGGAACUCAAAGGAGACUGCCAGUGAUAAACUGGAGGAAGGUGGGGAUGACGUCAAGUCAUCAUGGCCCUUACGACCAGGGCUACACACGUGCUACAAUGGCGCAUACAAAGAGAAGCGACCUCGCGAGAGCAAGCGGACCUCAUAAAGUGCGUCGUAGUCCGGAUUGGAGUCUGCAACUCGACUCCAUGAAGUCGGAAUCGCUAGUAAUCGUGGAUCAGAAUGCCACGGUGAAUACGUUCCCGGGCCUUGUACACACCGCCCGUCACACCAUGGGAGUGGGUUGCAAAAGAAGUAGGUAGCUUAACCUUCGGGAGGGCGCUUACCACUUUGUGAUUCAUGACUGGGGUGAAGUCGUAACAAGGUAACCGUAGGGGAACCUGC
This 403-nucleotide ribosomal RNA is filed under the name Salmonella enterica subsp. enterica serovar Bareilly. RNAcentral's name for it is "bacterial SSU rRNA". It matches the Rfam family "Bacterial small subunit ribosomal RNA", at positions 1112 to 1515 of the family's 1533-position model. The record is from RNAcentral. RNAcentral also lists the same sequence under 1 other name. Lineage: Bacteria; Pseudomonadati; Pseudomonadota; Gammaproteobacteria; Enterobacterales; Enterobacteriaceae.